This 261-nucleotide ribosomal RNA is filed under the name uncultured bacterium. RNAcentral's name for it is "partial 16S ribosomal RNA". It matches the Rfam family "Bacterial small subunit ribosomal RNA", at positions 254 to 507 of the family's 1533-position model. The record is from RNAcentral.
CGGGUAAUGGCCCACCAAGGCGACGAUCCGUAGCUGGUCUGAGAGGAUGAUCAGCCACACUGGAACUGAGACACGGUCCAGACUCCUACGGGAGGCAGCAGUAGGGAAUAUUGGACAAUGGGCGCAAGCCUGAUCCAGCCAUGCCGCGUGAGUGAAGAAGGCCCUCGGGUUGUAAAGCUCUUUUGUCCAGAAAGAAAAGCGCCGGGUUAAUACCCUGGUGUCCUGACGGUACCGGAAGAAUAAGCACCGGCUAACUUCGUG